This 344-nucleotide small RNA is filed under the name Pan troglodytes (chimpanzee). Its description in RNAcentral is "retained intron". Lineage: Eukaryota; Metazoa; Chordata; Mammalia; Primates; Hominidae. The record is from RNAcentral.
CUUUCUUUUAUUUCUGUUGUGUUCUUUUAUGUUAUUUGCUUGUUUGGGAGGGGUUGUGUUUAAGUUUAAAUCUUGUAGCACAGGCCAGCUGGAUUUAGGAUGGACUCUAGCUUCUGUGUACCAAAGUCGUCCUGUUGAGGGGUUUGGGAAGAUACUCCCCAGUCAUCAAACACAGUCCCUCAGAGCAAGUCACGUUGUCAUUUACCUGCAUUUGCAGAGCUCCCUAGGGCCGUGACUGAGACCUGUCCUUCCUGUCUUUUUCAGAUUGUGGGCUGCACACUGCAGGAAGAUUCAGCUGAAGAAAGAUAACUCUUCCACACAAGUGUACAACUACCAACCCUGCG